RNAcentral lists this ribosomal RNA (249 nucleotides) under uncultured bacterium. Its description in RNAcentral is "partial 16S ribosomal RNA". It matches the Rfam family "Bacterial small subunit ribosomal RNA", at positions 9 to 250 of the family's 1533-position model. The record is from RNAcentral.
GAGUUUGAUCGUGGCUCAGGAUGAACGCUGGCGGCGUGCUUAAGACAUGCAAGUCGAACGCAGUCGCUCCGCAAGGGGCGGCUGAGUGGCGAAUGGGUGCGUAACACGUAGGUGACCUGCCCAGAAGUGGGGAAUAACAGUCCGAAAGGACUGCUAAUACCGCAUGUGGUGCGAGGGUUUUGAAGCCUCGUACGAAAGGUGCUCGCAAGAGUGCCGCUUCUGGAGGGGCCUGCGGCCCAUCAGCUAGUU